RNAcentral lists this ribosomal RNA (253 nucleotides) under uncultured bacterium. Its description in RNAcentral is "partial 16S ribosomal RNA". It matches the Rfam family "Bacterial small subunit ribosomal RNA", at positions 524 to 776 of the family's 1533-position model. The record is from RNAcentral.
UACGGGGGGGGCAAGCGUCGUUCGGAAUUACUGGGCGUAAAGGGCUCGUAGGCGGCCAACUAAGUCGGACGUGAAAUCCCUCGGCUUAACCGGGGAACUGCGUCCGAUACUGGAUGGCUUGAGUGUGGGAGAGGGAUGCGGAAUUCCAGGUGUAGCGGUGAAAUGCGUAGAUAUCUGGAGGAACACCGGUGGCGAAGGCGGCAUCCUGGACUACUACUGACGCUGAGGAGCGAAAGCCAGGGGAGCAAACGGG